AUUUACAUUUGUUGUUACUGUAUUUUAAUCCUAAAUAGGGGGGAUGAUAAAAUCAAAAGGAGACAAGGAAAAAAUAAAGUAUUUAUUGUUAACUAUGACUAUUUCAUCAAAUAUGAUCAUAAUUUAGUUUUUGGCAUACAUUCAAGGGAAUGGAUCUAACCAUAAAUAAAAAGGAAUCCUCUAACCUCUAUGAAUCAAUGUAAGACUAUAUAAUUUUUAAAAAUCUUAUAAAUUCAUGUUGAUUAAAGUUUGAAAGCUAAAAUGCCCUAGAACAUUGAUUUCCAUUCCUUUUGAAUAAUGUCAAAUAUUUUCACAAAGCAAUGCUUUACUACCUCAUCUAAAAUUAUAAUGCUAUUUUAACUAUUUGUUGAGCAAGAAAAUUCAUAAUGGAAUUCAGUACAGCUUUUUAGUAAAUAUUUGAAUUUAUUUCUUAUUACAGCAAAAACCUAGAGAUUAAAAAAUGGAGUCACAUGGCUAAGCAAGAUGUAUUAUUUAUUCAGUCCAAAGAAAUGCUAUGUUACAUCUGGAUUCAAGGGACUUUGCAGUAAUUCCAAGAGGUAGAAUGUAAGUCCCUGGGGGAAAGAGUCUCCAUGUGUGUUCAGUGUUUUGUGUGUGAUGAAACCUAUAUGUGUUUUCAUUUUCUUUCCUCUAAGAAACUUUUAUAUACAUAUUAACAGUUGCAGAGCGUUAAUGGGAGAAGAGAAAUGAGCAUAAAGUAAAAUGCUAGUAGCAAUGAUUAAUGCAACACUUAUUGUGGCCAAGAAUUUUACAUUUGUUAUCUCAUUUAAGUUUCAUGAAAAUCUCCAUUUACAGAGAAGAAAACUG
RNAcentral lists this long non-coding RNA (825 nucleotides) under Pan troglodytes (chimpanzee). Its description in RNAcentral is "lincRNA". Lineage: Eukaryota; Metazoa; Chordata; Mammalia; Primates; Hominidae. The record is from RNAcentral.